UUUUAACACUACAAGUCCGACUGGCGGG
This 28-nucleotide non-coding RNA is filed under the name Bombyx mori (domestic silkworm). Lineage: Eukaryota; Metazoa; Arthropoda; Insecta; Lepidoptera; Bombycidae. The record is from RNAcentral.